AUGGAUAAAUCCAGAAAGAAACAAGAAGAAAAGGAAUUUGAGGCGGCCAUGCUUGCAUUUGCUCUGGAUGUGGCGUCGUCAAGUGUGACACUGCCGUACGCACCAAGAAAGUUACAUCUUGUUACAAGCCUCCAAUGGGUAGAAGAGAAGGAGAAAGAUGCAAAAUCUUUCUAUGCUAUGUUCAGAAUGAGGAGGUCAGUGUUUCAUACAUUGCAUGAUCUGUUAGUUCAGAAGUAUGGGCUUGAGUCAACUUCCAACAUUUCAUCCAAAGAAGCAUUGGCACAAUUUUUAUGGACUGUUGGUACAUGUCAGACAACUGAUAAUGUCGCAGAUCGGUUUGCACAUAGUCGUUCUGUCAUAAAUAAAAAAUUCCACGAGGUUUUGGAGUGUGUAGACCGCAUGGCCGGUGAUUACAUAAGACCAAUUGAUCCAACUUUCUCUGAACCACACCCAGUACUUAGAAAAACAAAGUUUUGGCCUCACUUUCAACAUGCUAUUGGAGUCAUUGAUGGAACACACAUUAAGGUGAUUGUGCCAAAGGAGUUGGAGCCCCAACACAGGAAUAGGAAAGGUUACACAAGUGAAAAUGUUAUGGCAGUGUGUGAUUUUGAUAUGAGGUUCACGUUUGUUGUUCCCGGAUGGCCCGGAUCUGUUCAUGACACACGUGUAUGGAGCGAUGCCAUAGUUCGUUAUGAUCACUUUCCACAACCCCCCACAGAUAAAUAUUAUCUUGUCGACUCCGGAUAUCCAAACAGGGUUGGAUAUCUAUCUCCAUACAAAGGGCAAUGA
RNAcentral lists this ribosomal RNA (789 nucleotides) under Triticum aestivum (bread wheat). RNAcentral describes it as "partial small subunit ribosomal RNA". Lineage: Eukaryota; Viridiplantae; Streptophyta; Magnoliopsida; Poales; Poaceae. The record is from RNAcentral.